This 587-nucleotide long non-coding RNA is filed under the name Homo sapiens (human). RNAcentral's name for it is "HSALNT0277158". The record is from RNAcentral. Lineage: Eukaryota; Metazoa; Chordata; Mammalia; Primates; Hominidae.
GAAAGGGCUAGGGGCUAAAUGAGCUGCACUGAUGGUAAAUGCUGAUAGAGGCCUAUGGAGGGGACCUUGUGGCCCAGGGCAGCAAGAAAUGCUGCAUUGGAGAGAUGGGGUACAUGCGAGUGACAAUGGGAAGAGUUGGUAGCUGGAGAGAACUGGGAAAGCCUUCAGAAACGUGGGGCUAAAAUAAGCCCAGAAGCUGAGGAAGGGCUGAGUCAGACCCUCAGAGUGGAGCAAUCACUGCACGGCUGCUCCUUGUAAGAAACAUCCCGUUGCGCCUGAGUUGUUUAUUGCCAGGAGCUGUAAGUGAAAAAUGAGCUCUCUUAAGCCAGGCUGGGAGCAGGCUCCUCUUCCUGGAGAUGGCACGAUGCUUCACAGCUUGGAAACGUUCUGUGCCAGUAUAAAAGGGGUGGCAUACAUCCCUCGGAGCAGGAAAGCCUGAUGACAAAGGGGAAGGAGCCUGGGCUGGAAGCCAAGUGGCACUAGGGUUAGUCUCAACUUCAUUGCUUACCAGAUAUGUCAAAUGAAUGAUACCCUUACCUGCUGAGAGUCUACCUUUUCUCAGUUGCAAGAUUAAAAUGUAAGCCAGA